GACGUUAGCUGCAGAAGAAGCACCGGCUAACUCCGUGCCUAGCAGCCGCGGUAAUACGGAGGGUGCGAGCGUUAAUCGGAAUUACUGGGCGUAAAGCGCAUGCAGGUGGUUUGUUAAGUCAGAUGUGAAAGCCCGGGGCUCAACCUCGGAAUUGCAUUUGAAACUGGCAAACUAGAGUACUGUAGAGGGGGUAGAAUUUCAGGUGUAGCGGUGAAAUGCGUAGAGAUCUGAAGGAAUACCGGUGGCGAAGGCGGCCCCCUGGACAGAUACUGACACUCAGAUGCGAAAGCGUGGGGAGCAAACAGGAUUAGAUACCCUGUAG
This 322-nucleotide ribosomal RNA is filed under the name uncultured bacterium. RNAcentral describes it as "bacterial SSU rRNA". It matches the Rfam family "Bacterial small subunit ribosomal RNA", at positions 471 to 793 of the family's 1533-position model. The record is from RNAcentral.